Molecule: small RNA, 706 nt
Filed under: Pan troglodytes (chimpanzee)
Lineage: Eukaryota; Metazoa; Chordata; Mammalia; Primates; Hominidae
Description: processed transcript
Source: RNAcentral
UUCAGGAAGGAUCCUCCCCUUGCAGCUGUGACCACUGCUGUCCAGGAACUGCUGCGUCUGGCUCAGGCCCACCCAGCCGGACCCCCCACCCUCGACCCUGUCAAUGACCUGCAGCUCAAAGAUAUGUCAGUUGUAGAGGGCGGGCACUGUGAAGCUGGCAGGGCGGGUGGCUUGUGCCAUGAGCAGCCAUGAGUUGCUCCUCACUGAGCUCAUGUUUGACAAUGCACUGAGCACCCUGCGGCCUGAGGAGAUUGCUGCCUUGCUCUCUGGCCUGGUCUGCCAGAGCCCUGGGGACGCUGGGGAUCAGCUCCCAAACACCCUCAAGCAGGGAAUAGAACGUGUCCGGGCUGUGGCCAAGCGGAUUGGUGAGGUCCAGGUGGCUUGUGGCCUGAACCAGACGGUGGAGGAAUUUGUGGGGGAGCUGAAUUUUGGGCUGGUUGAGGUUGUGUAUGAGUGGGCCCGGGGCAUGCCCUUCUCCGAGUUGGCAGGGCUCUCAGGGACCCCUGAGGGCCUGGUGGUCCGCUGCAUUCAGCGCCUGGCUGAGAUGUGUCGCUCACUGCGGGGGGCAGCCCGCCUGGUAGGAGAGCCUGUGCUGGGUGCCAAGAUGGAGACAGCGGCUACCUUGCUACGGCGGGACAUCGUAUUUGCGGCCAGCCUUUACACCCAGUGAAUGCCCCAUGUAAAAAUGUGAUGAUAAAACAGCAAA